AGGGUUUGAUUAUGGCUCAGGACGAACGCUGGCGGCGCGCCUAACACAUGCAAGUCGAACGAGAAAGAGGGAGCUUGCUCCCUUGAUCGAGUGGCGAACGGGUGAGUAACGCGUGAGGAACCUGCCUCAAAGAGGGGGACAACAGUUGGAAACGACUGCUAAUUCCGCAUAAGCCCACGGCUCGGCAUCGAGCAGAGGGAAAAGGAGCAAUCCGCUUUGAGAUGGCCUCGCGUCCGAUUAGCUAGUUGGUGAGGUAACGGCCCACCGAGGCGACGAUCAGUAGCCGACCUGAGAGGGUGAUCGGCCACAUUGGAACUGAGACACGGUCCAA
Molecule: ribosomal RNA, 331 nt
Filed under: uncultured bacterium
Lineage: Bacteria
Description: bacterial SSU rRNA
Rfam family: Bacterial small subunit ribosomal RNA
Source: RNAcentral